RNAcentral lists this ribosomal RNA (382 nucleotides) under uncultured eukaryote. RNAcentral describes it as "partial 18S ribosomal RNA". It matches the Rfam family "Eukaryotic small subunit ribosomal RNA", at positions 592 to 976 of the family's 1831-position model. The record is from RNAcentral.
UGUAAGCGUAUACCAAAGUUGUUGCAGUUAAAACGCUCGUAGUCGGAAUUUGGCAGUUCCGGAUGUGUGCACGUCGUGUGCGCACUUCGCGGGGAUUGCUUUUGUGGUCUUGCGUAGGAUGAGGCACUUUUAUUAGUGAACGUCCUCACGCAACCACUUUUUACUGUGAGAAAAUCAGAGUGCUCAAAGCAGGCAUUUGCCGUGAAUGUAUUAGCAUGGAAUAAUAGAAUAGGACUUGGUACUAUUUUGUUGGUUUGUUGGGACUGAGUAAUGAUUAAGAGGGACAGUUGGGGGCAUUUGUAUUUCGGUGCUAGAGGUGAAAUUCUUAGAUUACCGAAAGACAAACUGCUGCGAAAGCGUCUGCCAAGGAUGUUUUCAUUGA